Molecule: ribosomal RNA, 497 nt
Filed under: uncultured bacterium
Lineage: Bacteria
Description: partial 16S ribosomal RNA
Rfam family: Bacterial small subunit ribosomal RNA
Source: RNAcentral
GAUGAACGCUGGCGGCGUGCCUAAUACAUGCAAGUCGAGCGAACAGAUGAGGAGCUUGCUCCUCUGACGUUAGCGGCGGACGGGUGAGUAACACGUGGAUAACCUACCUAUAAGACUGGGAUAACUACGGGAAACCGGAGCUAAUACCGGAUAAUAUAUUGAACCGCAUGGUUCAAUAGUGAAAGACGGUUUUGCUGUCACUUAUAGAUGGAUCCGCGCCGCAUUAGCUAGUUGGUAAGGUAACGGCUUACCAAGGCAACGAUGCGUAGCCGACCUGAGAGGGUGAUCGGACACACUGGAACUGAGACACGGUCCAGACUCCUACGGGAGGCAGCAGUAGGGAAUCUUCCGCAAUGGGCGAAAGCCUGACGGAGCAACGCCGCGUGAGUGAUGAAGGUCUUCGGAUCGUAAAACUCUGUUAUUAGGGAAGAACAAAUGUGUAAGUAACUAUGCACGUCUUGACGGUACCUAAUCAGAAAGCCACGGCUAACUACGUG